AAUGAGCUGCUGCCAAGCAGCCUAACAAGCCUGCAUUGGAGGAUCUUGGUGACAGGUUUAUUACACCGAGGAUAGGAAAUUUCAGUGGACACGAGCUCUCCCGAGGAAAGGUCUCACAGUUGUCCACUGAAAACCAAGUGAGUGAAUGAAUUAAAAUGUGCCUGAAUUCCAUUCUUUAAGCCUCUGUCAGCAGAAGCCGGAGCAGCGCAGCGCAAGCGUCCAGUGGUAUUCAUCAGGUAUUUUAUGAAACGGAAUCUUCAAAGUUCUGUACAUUUACUUAAAUAUAAGCUACAGCAAGACAAAAUAAAUAAAAAUUUAAAAAACGGAAUGAAUAAAUAUAACUCAAAUAACAAGCGUCUGCUUUUGCCCGGGAAGACAGCCAAGUGGUAUGCAUUUUGGAUUAAUUUUUUACAAGGAAAACAAAUUAAUUGCUUAGUAAAUAUAGUUUGCUAGACAAAAAUCUCUCAAAA
This 470-nucleotide long non-coding RNA is filed under the name Homo sapiens (human). Its description in RNAcentral is "HSALNT0052075". Lineage: Eukaryota; Metazoa; Chordata; Mammalia; Primates; Hominidae. The record is from RNAcentral.